Molecule: non-coding RNA, 23 nt
Filed under: Cricetulus griseus (Chinese hamster)
Lineage: Eukaryota; Metazoa; Chordata; Mammalia; Rodentia; Cricetidae
Source: RNAcentral
UGGGCCUAACUCGGGCGGGUGGC